GGGCCGGUGGUCUAGCCUGGUUAGGAUACCGCCUUGACAUGGCGGGGGUCGCGUGUUCAACUCACGUCCGGCCCACCA
RNAcentral lists this transfer RNA (78 nucleotides) under Thermoproteota archaeon. RNAcentral describes it as "tRNA-Val". It matches the Rfam family "tRNA". From Rfam's summary of the family: Transfer RNA (tRNA) molecules are approximately 80 nucleotides in length. Their secondary structure includes four short double-helical elements and three loops (D, anti-codon, and T loops). Lineage: Archaea; Thermoproteati; Thermoproteota. The record is from RNAcentral.